UAUCAUUAUUGAUUAUUGCAGUGGCUGAGCAGCUGCAGCCAAGGGACAGAGCCCCUCGGUGCACGUUAUGCCGGGGGACAGCCCUCACCCUCUCAGACACCUCCUUCCACUUCUCACUCUCAACUGGACACAAACGCGGCCCUGGAAUUGCGGGAAUUGCAGGAAUUGCGGGUUUGUGCUGGGCCAUGGCAGGGCUGCUGGCAGACUUCAUGUAGCACCAGGCAGCGCAGUCUGAGGAUGAGAAAAUCAAGACAUCAGCUGAGCAGACAUGCUUCACUUAGUGGGGACUGUACAACCAUUAGAUGCUCAUCCCACAAAGAGCAGCCUGGCACACGCGGUGGCACCCAUGGGGCUAAAUGGGAUUUACCAUCUGUGUCCCCCCAUCUCAUUGUCCCCGGACGCCCCUGUGCCACCAGCUGGCCAUUGCCCCCCUGGGCUAGCCGGUGUGGCCACAGGUCGGAGGCUGCGGAGGCCCCAGAGGCCACCAGGAGCCUGGGCUGGCAAAGCACAACUUGGCUUCGCUUUGGUUUAUCUGCGUCUUGUGUCUGAUCUGGAGCGCGAUUCAUAAGAACGCAGUUAACACGCGGCUGACAUAUCUCUGAUACGACGAUCAUAGCGAGGAAGCAGCUUGACCCCCGAAGGCUCCUGCGAACAGCGGGAUUGACACUUCACAUUGACUUUGCUUCAGGCUUAUCAACAAAUCUCAGCCAAUUUUAUUAAAGAGCGGCGUGUGGUGUGUGGGACGCGCCAGGCUCAGACAACUUCAUCUCGUGCAGCUCAGAAACCAGGCGAGGGCUUGGCUCCUUCGCUUCUCCUUCGUGUCUUCACUUGGCAAAUUUAACUUCACAGCAGCUCCUCGUGGGGUGAGUAAAGGCUGGAGAGCGGUGACGGCCUGCAGUGUUUCCUGGCCCUUUCAUGAAGGGCAGGGGCAGAGCAGGCAGGGGCAGGCUGGGGACACUGGGGGUCAUCGUGCGAUGGCACGAGCAGUGACCGAGACGGGUGAGCGCAGCAUCGUGUCCCCGCAGUGCCCGGGCAGCAAACGGCCGUGGAGGCAACAGGGAGGACACACCACGUGGGCAGCGCUGACUUCUCUAAACUGGUGUACCUGGUUUAGGCUCCAUUUUUCAGCGCCAUUUAAUGUGUGUGUUGUAUUUUUAGCACCAAAAGAGGCCUGGGCAGGGUCUCCCAGGACGAGAAUGAGGGCAGCAAGCAGCCAGCAGGAUCCACUGCUCUGAGGCAUCAUUUGGUAAUUAUGUCUCUUUUUACUCAUGCAAAUUUUAUCAAUAUUAUUUAUAUAUUCAAAGCCAU
This 1308-nucleotide long non-coding RNA is filed under the name Calidris pugnax (ruff). RNAcentral describes it as "lncRNA (ENSCPUG00000016121.1)". The record is from RNAcentral. Lineage: Eukaryota; Metazoa; Chordata; Aves; Charadriiformes; Scolopacidae.